CGACUCAUAAGCUUGAAUGGAUUCUCCUUUCAUCUCACCUACACACUAAACACACUUUUGAGGUCUUUCAGGUUAUAACGGGGUUUGGGUUAAGGUGGGAUACGGAUGGGAUAGAAAACGUCUUUUGGGUUCAGAUUCGAUGUUAUUAUUCUUUUCAUUGUGUUUAUUCUAAAGUACCAUUGGCAUUUCUCUUCUUUUUUUUCAGCUCAGCUACUCAGUUCUUUUUCUUUUUGUCUUUGAGUUUGUAUCCAACUAAGUCUUUUCCUCUGGUGAGUGAUUUUCUU
RNAcentral lists this long non-coding RNA (284 nucleotides) under Lathyrus oleraceus (garden pea). RNAcentral's name for it is "Pisum sativum (pea) long non-coding RNA (PSAT_LNC037242)". The record is from RNAcentral. Lineage: Eukaryota; Viridiplantae; Streptophyta; Magnoliopsida; Fabales; Fabaceae.